Molecule: long non-coding RNA, 577 nt
Filed under: Elaeis guineensis (African oil palm)
Lineage: Eukaryota; Viridiplantae; Streptophyta; Magnoliopsida; Arecales; Arecaceae
Description: long non-coding RNA (EGUI_LNC067342)
Source: RNAcentral
GUUUCAGCGAGCGUCUUUCCAGGCCGUAGGCGUCUCCCGUCUCCGUCUCCCAGGUCCCUCAUAGUGAUAUAGGUUAGUGCCAACCUUCUUCCCUUCACCUAGGGACCUCUUUUCUGUCAUUAUAUUUCUUGCCUUUCUCCGAGUUAAUCUGUGGUCUCUCAUUCCCCUUUUCUGUCCGUCUUCUUAGGGUUCCUUAGACCCCCCUUUCGAAACUACUCAAAAUGUCCUCCGGUUCUUCUGCUCCCAGCAGUUCUGAGAGCUCUUCCGCCUCAAACCCCCAGGUUCCCGUCGCUGUAGACGAACCUGCAUCUGAGGUCGGGCCCCGCUCGGCUUUCGCACCGGGCGUCAUUCCGUGUUCCUCGACCUCGGAGGAACUCCUUCUGAUAAGGGUUCAGUACGGAGUUCCUCCGGAGUACGAUUUGGAACUGCCAGGCCCUUCUGACCGGGCCAGUAAUCCUCCACCCGGUCGCUUCUGUUUAUACCAGGAAGCAUUCCGUGCUGGACUCCGGCUCUCGCUUCCUUCUUUUGUUGCCGCCUUCUUCCGCUUUUUAGACGUCUCCUUGGCUUCCGUGGCCCC